Molecule: long non-coding RNA, 1434 nt
Organism: Macaca mulatta (Rhesus monkey)
Lineage: Eukaryota; Metazoa; Chordata; Mammalia; Primates; Cercopithecidae
Product: chromosome 7 C15orf54 homolog
Source: RefSeq, a predicted model, not a curated record
UACCAGGAGAGAGGGAAAAUUUACAAAAAAAGAGUACAGGGCUCUUUGAUUUUUCAUUUCCCUUUCCCUCUACUCACUCUUUGUGCCUUCUUCAGUUAGUACCACACUAGAGAAGUGUUAGGUAGAGAAAGAGGAAGAAAGAAAAGGAGACAAUCUUAUCAGUUGAUUUUGCUAUGUGUUACCAGUCUGGUAAAAACAUUUGAAGUUAGAAAGUAUUCAAACAUGAAUAAAGUUUCAGAGUUACUUGUAUGGAUUUCAUUUCCUCAGAAUACCCUCAUUGUUCCUUCGCAGGAAAUAUUCAUAAGUCAACUAUCCAGAAUCAUAGUUAUUAUUCAAGUGGUGUGGGUUUAAAAGGAGAUCUGAUGCCAUGGCAAACCUCACUGACUUAGACUGUUCUUCAAGUUAAACAGCAGGAUGAUGUCUGAAGUGACUGAAACACAUAUGGCUUCAGUGUGUCAAGAAGACCUGAAAGAUCCCACAUGGAAGUGAAAUUCAUUAUUGGCAAGCACGGUGACAGGAGACCCCAGAGGGCUGAGCCGCAAAGAAUUUGCAGAGCCGUAUGGCUAACUCCAUGGCCUAGUUUGAUCUUGAAGUUAUUGUCUUGGAUAAUCCUCUCAAAUCUGUUCCUGUACUUAAGAGUCACUCAUCACAUGAGGGAGCUCCCUCUCAGGUUCCUUUACAUCGCCCUGUCAGAAAUGACUUUCAGGGAACACAGACAUCACAUCAAAUCAUCCAACAGAUGUCCCUUUCAAAUAAGUUGGAGCAGAACCAACUAUAUGGAGAAGUCAUAAACAAGGAAACAGACAACCCAGUGAUUUUCAGCGGAUUGGCACUGCUCUUAUGACAGAAACCUCAAGUUUCUUGGGUGGAAGAACAUGAGUUCAACAGAGGGCGUGUGCACUAUGCUGGCUGACUCUUGCCCUCCUGAGGCUCAUGCUGUUGACAGGGGAUAGAGGGGACACUUUUGGAGUCCAAAUCCUGCACCAUCUCAAUGAAGUGCUAUUCAACAUCAUGGCUCUAAGAAGUAACCCAUUUUAAUAACUGGCAUCAGAGGACUUAGGAGAGAGAAAGUCAGUAUCCAGACCCAUUUCCGUCAGUGACUCUCUCCUUGUAUUGGGAGGGUUGGCCAGAAUCGUCUGAUUCCUGUUUCUGAUUUCCUUCCUCACUGGCAUCAGAGGAUUGCACUACCGGAAGACUAAUAUCUAACUGAGCUCCAAGUGCUAAAUAAGAGUAUCUCAGGCUCAUUCCAGACCACCAAGAGGUUCGGGGUGACCAAGUCACAGACUAUAAAUUUGAACAUUUGAUGAUUUUUGCAGGUGACUGGGUGAACAAAGGAAAACCCAAGAGAUACAUAAAGAUGGAAACUAGGAUUUCUCAUUUGAAUUCUUUAACAUGCCUCACUCUGAUGGUUAUAAAUAUAAAGGAACUUUCACC